ACAAACCUAUGAUGAUGGUUAGUUCUCCCUGUCUGAAAAUCUCAACUGAGGGGAAAAAGUUAAUUCUGAGGUUUUA
Octodon degus (degu) is the source of this 76-nucleotide small nucleolar RNA. RefSeq annotates it as small nucleolar RNA R38. The record is from RefSeq and is a predicted model, not a curated record. NCBI's taxonomy places the organism in Eukaryota, Metazoa, Chordata, Mammalia, Rodentia, Octodontidae. The transcript has a single exon.